AAAUUUGCAUUUGCGAUUCUUGCACAUGCUCGUACGAAAGCUGCUGUUUUGUGGUGGCUCACGCUUUUUGUUCAAGAGAAAUUUGCAUACCACGGAGGAGAUACUUUGACAAUGCAAUUCCAAAAGCCUGACAAGUCGGCCCUGGCCAGUCGCCUCCCACAUGUGGCUAAACAUCAGCGGUCUCUGGUUCCUGCCGAUGUCCCUGGGACUUUUUGCGGCUUUUUCGGUUCACUUUCCGGGGCCUCCCACUGGCCGCCAAACUUUCUUAAUGAGCUUCGUACGGAUUUGCGGUUUCUUUCGCCUAUCGCGAGUAACAUGGAAAUCGAUGUGUAAAACAAUAGGCGUGUCUGUGAUUGGCUGCCUUAAGCGACUGCCAGCCCUGUAGAUGGAUAUCUCGGUCCUCACUCGCAAUAAUACCAGCACUCGAGCCCAUUGUUGGCACUCGAAUUAUAUACACAUUAUCUGCGCACCGGAUCCGGGCCAGGGACGAGCUCAGUAGCCCCACAGGACACCUUCCAGCACACAGACCAACACUUACGCAAGGAGUCAGACGUUGUUAUUUUAAUAGUUUAAGUAACCAUAAUAUGUUGAGGACUUUUUAAUAAACUUGAAACAUGAGCGAGCGUGAGCCACAAGGACACCAGAGACCGGCAGGAUGUGAACUAGGACCGGCUGCAGUCGGGCAAGAUUUAUGCAAACCAAAAUGUAGCCAAAAAUUACAGUUUAAUGGAGUAGACUCGGGGAGUGUGCGUGGUCCCGGUCGUAAUGAGCAGCGAGAAACUUGCAACAAAGCCAAGUUUGCUGUAGACAAAGGACCAGAGGCCAAGUUGUAUCCCGGGCCAGGAGCAACUCCGAAUGUAUGCAGAAGUAACUUCUCUAAUUUUGCAGGAAAUAUGAAGCCAUUAAAGUGCAGCAGACGAAACAAGGCAGCAUCUUGACUACUGCGGCACUCAGAUACUUAGAAGGGGUGCCUCCAAAAAGGCGAAGGACCUGGCACAUAAGGUGCAAGAGAAGGAGGAGGAGCUGGAGCUGGAACUGAAGCUGGAGCUGGAGGAUGGAGGAUGGACGCAACACUCCGGGGCCAUGUGGCCUGCCUGCAAAGUUGUCCUCGAGAGUGUGAAAAUAAAUUGUGAAAAAGUUGUAGAAGUGAAAAUGCCAACUGGUUUGCAUGCCCCUGCCCCGAUGUCCAUCCCCGGGGCAGAUUACAACUACAGGAACGCGAUCCGGGUGAAAAGGCACUAAGCGCCCACAGCCCGAUAUACGUACAUACAUAUCUUUAAUUGCCAACUUGGCCACUGGCUGCGAGAAAAAUGACUCCUGGUAACUGCAGCGCAGUAUUCUGGUCCAGCUGGUGUCACAUGUCCGGUAUCCGGCGCUAGUUCCACUUAAUCAUUGCCAGGCCGACCCACAAAAGGGGAGUCAGAAGGUGCCGUGAUCUGUAUAACGAAUGUACUGAGACUCAUAUCUCCGCUUAAAGGGAGUUUUACUUAAUUACUCUAUCUGAAGGAACGAGUCAGCAGAAGCGGUUUGCACGGUUUAAAAGUGGCAGUUUCGAGUUGGACGACAAAGAACGAAAAAUUAAUAAACAUUAGCGCCACCAAAAUUUGAGGAUGAGGAAUUGGAGGCAUUGCUCAAUGAAGACUCAUCACAAAUGCAAAAGGAACUUGCAAAUUCGCUUGGAGGCACUAAACUGCAGCGACGUCUCCAACGCCGUUUUUUCCACCACAUGUCGGUCGAGCCGUUAAAACGUACUUGGAAACACAUCGAUGGGAAAUCCUACCACACCCGCGUGGUAGCCCAGACAUUGCACCUUCCGAUUACUAUCUGUUUCGAUCGAUGGGUCAGGGUCUGGCAGACCAGCACUUCUCCAAGUAUGAUAAAGUCAAAGAAUGGAUGGAUAUUUGAAAAAAGCGUAGAUUUCUUUCGGCGCGGAAUCCGUGAUUUGCCAUAAAGAUGGCGAAAAGUAGUGGUUACCGAUGGGCAAUACUUUAAAGCGU
Drosophila elegans is the source of this 1997-nucleotide long non-coding RNA. RefSeq lists it as uncharacterized. NCBI's taxonomy places the organism in Eukaryota, Metazoa, Arthropoda, Insecta, Diptera, Drosophilidae. The record is from RefSeq and is a predicted model, not a curated record. The transcript is spliced from 4 exons.